This 210-nucleotide ribosomal RNA is filed under the name uncultured Glomus. RNAcentral describes it as "partial small subunit ribosomal RNA". It matches the Rfam family "Eukaryotic small subunit ribosomal RNA", at positions 591 to 807 of the family's 1831-position model. The record is from RNAcentral. Lineage: Eukaryota; Fungi; Glomeromycota; Glomeromycetes; Glomerales; Glomeraceae.
CCAAUAGCGUAUAUUAAAGUUGCUGCAGUUAAAAAGCUCGUAGUUGAAUUUCGGGACUAAUAUGUUGGUCGUGCCUCGGUACGUACUGAUAUUUUUGGUUUCUCCCUUCUGACGAACCUUGAUGUCAUUAAUUUGGUGUCUUGGGAAAUCAGGACUGUUACUUUGAAAAAAUUAGAGUGUUUAAAGCAGGCUCACGCUUGAAUACAUUAG